GAUGUGGUACUGAUCAUUUGAUCAUAUUUACGCGGUGGUUAGAGAACAUGUGCUCCUUUUUUGUGUGAAUUAACGAUCACUAAGCCCUGGGUCCUGUGCAAUGCUAUUAGCUCGCUGUAUGUUUCUUGCAGUGCGCCGUUGUUGAUUAUCGUAGUGCGGUCCACACGCGCUUUCUUUGUGCCCGGCUCAUGAGAAGCUGUUGUACUCUCGCCGCUCCCGCAUCGGGUCACAGUGCACGGAAGAAUGUGUUGAUAGUUGUGCUAUCGCGUGCUGUAGUUCACCGCAAUUCAACACUACGCUGGACGGACUGUUGGUGCAGUCGAUGUGGCGUGAACGGACACGAAGGAGCGCUCGCCUCAGAAGGGAUGUCACAAUUUCCAGAGACGGAGGCAUCUCUGCACCACAAAGGAGACUGCGGCACUAUGCAGCCUGAACAGCACGACAAAGCAUCUGAUCUGCCUGCUUUGACAAGAUGUGGCUGGGCCUGCAGAAAGAGUGUAAGCAGACUACUGUGUUGCUGAUCAGUGCUGGUGCUGAUCUCUACGUCUGAGUUUGCCUCACAACGUCCAGGCACCACUGUGCUUUGCUUCAUUGACAAGGUGUGGCUGGGCCUGCAGAAAAGCUGUAAGCAGACUGCAGUGUUGCUGAUCAGUGCUGAUCUCCACGUCCGAGUUGGUCCCACAACAUCCAGGCACCACGGUGCUUUCAGAAGAGGCAUACGAGCACUUUGUGUCAAAAACGCCGAGCACUGUGGAUACAGAGGCAAGGAGGCUGAAGGACCUGAAGAAGCACCUGGCCACCAUGCUU
RNAcentral lists this long non-coding RNA (807 nucleotides) under Dermacentor andersoni. Its description in RNAcentral is "uncharacterized LOC126520239". The record is from RNAcentral. Lineage: Eukaryota; Metazoa; Arthropoda; Arachnida; Ixodida; Ixodidae.